RNAcentral lists this signal recognition particle RNA (99 nucleotides) under Rhodospirillaceae bacterium. RNAcentral's name for it is "signal recognition particle sRNA small type". It matches the Rfam family "Bacterial small signal recognition particle RNA". From Rfam's summary of the family: The signal recognition particle (SRP) is a universally conserved ribonucleoprotein involved in the co-translational targeting of proteins to membranes. The record is from RNAcentral. Lineage: Bacteria; Pseudomonadati; Pseudomonadota; Alphaproteobacteria; Rhodospirillales; Rhodospirillaceae.
GGGAGGUUGGCGGCGGACGGGCGACUCGCCAACCCGGCCAGGUCCGGAAGGAAGCAGCCGUAACGAGCUUCAGCCCGGGUCGCAGGUCAGCCUCCCGCC